AAAAAACUUAUUUACUUGGCAAGUGGGCAUGUGUAUAUGUUUAUCUGUAUUUUUGUGAUUGUACAUGCAGUGUACACUAGGAGAGAAAGGGAAUAAAAUGGUAAGGCAAAAUGAUAUUAUUAUUGUAAAUUUUAGACUAUCUUUUAUAUCUCUGUCUUCUUAAAUAAAUUAUAAAACUCUUUUUUUUCCUUUUUAAGUGCCGAUGAUUGAGUUCAUGGGCACUUUGCCACUGAGCUAUUUUCCCAGUCCUUUUUUAUUUUUUGAGACAGAAUUUUACUAGAUGAAGGUUGGCCUCAAACUUGUGAUCCUUCGGCCACAGCCUCCCAAGUCACUGGGAUUAUAGUCAUGCAAAAAUGAGCCUAGCUAAAUUACAAACUAUUUUACAGUCAAUGAUUCUCAGAUAUUUUUAAAAAUUGUGGUAGACUGUAUAUAUUAAAAAUUGCAUUCAACCAUAUUUACAUCAAUUUUCAAUUUUUUUGUCACCCUAAAUAAACCUUUGUAAUCACUAAACAAUAACUCCCCAUGGAGACCAUAUGUCUCUCAAACCUAUGUAAAUAGUAACCAUAUUUUGUCAAUUAUAAUUUCAAUGUAACCUUAAGUGGGACUUUUUAAAAUUCAUGCUUCCUCUCACCCUUCCAGAUGCCCUCCUUAUUUUUCAUUUGAACUUCCUGUCUUCGCACCAUGGU
RNAcentral lists this long non-coding RNA (686 nucleotides) under Marmota monax (woodchuck). Lineage: Eukaryota; Metazoa; Chordata; Mammalia; Rodentia; Sciuridae. The record is from RNAcentral.